Molecule: ribosomal RNA, 261 nt
Filed under: uncultured bacterium
Lineage: Bacteria
Description: partial 16S ribosomal RNA
Rfam family: Bacterial small subunit ribosomal RNA
Source: RNAcentral
GAUCAUGGCUCAGGACGAACGCUGGCGGCGUGCCUAACACAUGCAAGUCGAGCGAGAAAUUUUUUAACGGAUUCCUUCGGGGGGAAGGAUAAGGAUGGAAAGCGGCGGACGGGUGAGUAACGCGUGAGUAACCUGCCUUUAGGAGGGGGACAACAUUCCGAAAGGGAUGCUAAUACCGCAUAAAAUUAUUGUAUCGCAUGGUAUGAUAAUCAAAGAUUUAUUCGCCUAAAGAAUGGACUCGCGUCCGAUUAGCUAGUUGGG